This 437-nucleotide ribosomal RNA is filed under the name uncultured bacterium. RNAcentral describes it as "bacterial SSU rRNA". It matches the Rfam family "Bacterial small subunit ribosomal RNA", at positions 338 to 790 of the family's 1533-position model. The record is from RNAcentral.
CCUACGGGGGGCAGCAGUGGGGAAUAUUGGGCAAUGGGCGCAAGCCUGACCCAGCAACGCCGCGUGAAGGAAGAAGGCCCUCGGGUUGUAAACUUCUUUUAUCAGGGACGAAGAAGUGACGGUACCUGAUGAAUAAGCCACGGCUAACUACGUGCCAGCAGCCGCGGUAAUACGUAGGUGGCAAGCGUUAUCCGGAUUUACUGGGUGUAAAGGGCGUGUAGGCGGGAUGGUAAGUCAGAUGUGAAAACUCAGGGCUCAACCCUGAGCCUGCAUUUGAAACUAUCGUUCUUGAGUGAUGGAGAGGCAGGCGGAAUUCCGUGUGUAGCGGUGAAAUGCGUAGAUAUACGGAGGAACACCAGUGGCGAAGGCGGCCUGCUGGACAUUAACUGACGCUGAGGCGCGAAAGCGUGGGGAGCAAACAGGAUUAGAUACCCGUG